AAUUAGCGGAUGACUUGUGGCUGGGGGUGAAAGGCCAAUCAAACCGGGAGAUAGCUGGUUCUCCCCGAAAGCUAUUUAGGUAGCGCCUCGUGAAUUCAUCUCCGGGGGUAGAGCACUGUUUCGGCAAGGGGGUCAUCCCGACUUACCAACCCGAUGCAAACUGCGAAUACCGGAGAAUGUUAUCACGGGAGACACACGGCGGGUGCUAACGUCCGUCGUGAAGAGGGAAACAACCCAGACCGCCAGCUAAGGUCCCAAAGUCAUGGUUAAGUGGGAAACGAUGUGGGAAGGCCCAGACAGCCAGGAUGUUGGCUUAGAAGCAGCCAUCAUUUAAAGAAAGCGUAAUAGCUCACUGGUCGAGUCGGCCUGCGCGGAAGAUGUAACGGGGCUAAACCAUGCACCGAAGCUGCGGCAGCGACGCUUAUGCGUUGUUGGGUAGGGGAGCGUUCUGUAAGCCUGCGAAGGUGUGCUGUGAGGCAUGCUGGAGGUAUCAGAAGUGCGAAUGCUGACAUAAGUAACGAUAAAGCGGGUGAAAAGCCCGCUCGCCGGAAGACCAAGGGUUCCUGUCCAACGUUAAUCGGGGCAGGGUGAGUCGACCCCUAAGGCGAGGCCGAAAGGCGUAGUCGAUGGGAAACAGGUUAAUAUUCCUGUACUUGGUGUUACUGCGAAGGGGGGACGGAGAAGGCUAUGUUGGCCGGGCGACGGUUGUCCCGGUUUAAGCGUGUAGGCUGGUUUUCCAGGCAAAUCCGGAAAAUCAAGGCUGAGGCGUGAUGACGAGGCACUACGGUGCUGAAGCAACAAAUGCCCUGCUUCCAGGAAAAGCCUCUAAGCAUCAGGUAACAUCAAAUCGUACCCCAAACCGACACAGGUGGUCAGGUAGAGAAUACCAAGGCGCUUGAGAGAACUCGGGUGAAGGAACUAGGCAAAAUGGUGCCGUAACUUCGGGAGAAGGCACGCUGAUAUGUAGGUGAAGUCCCUCGCGGAUGGAGCUGAAAUCAGUCGAAGAUACCAGCUGGCUGCAACUGUUUAUUAAAAACACAGCACUGUGCAAACACGAAAGUGGACGUAUACGGUGUGACGCCUGCCCGGUGCCGGAAGGUUAAUUGAUGGGGUCAGCGCAAGCGAAGCUCUUGAUCGAAGCCCCGGUAAACGGCGGCCGUAACUAUAACGGUCCUAAGGUAGCGAAAUUCCUUGUCGGGUAAGUUCCGACCUGCACGAAUGGCGUAAUGAUGGCCAGGCUGUCUCCACCCGAGACUCAGUGAAAUUGAACUCGC
This 1274-nucleotide ribosomal RNA is filed under the name Escherichia coli. Its description in RNAcentral is "partial 23S ribosomal RNA". It matches the Rfam family "Bacterial large subunit ribosomal RNA", at positions 795 to 2051 of the family's 2925-position model. The record is from RNAcentral. Lineage: Bacteria; Pseudomonadati; Pseudomonadota; Gammaproteobacteria; Enterobacterales; Enterobacteriaceae.